Molecule: long non-coding RNA, 322 nt
Organism: Canis lupus familiaris (dog)
Lineage: Eukaryota; Metazoa; Chordata; Mammalia; Carnivora; Canidae
Exons: 3
Source: RefSeq, a predicted model, not a curated record
AUGGAGACAGAGCUGCAUGGGAAACAAAGCAGCAUCGUGGCAGCAUAGUACAAUGUUAAGAGCAUCUAUGGACUUCGAAAGCUUGGGUUUCAGCCCCAUACCUGAUAGUCUCAAAUGUCAUGUCAAAGUCUCAGAUUCUUCACCUGAAAAAUAAAUAACAGUUUAUGUUUGGGGAAAGAAGUAGAAAUGGAGACUUGAAACGGAAAUUAUUUAGAUUCCACACUUCCAGGUAAAAUGAACCUCUUCAAUAUUUGAUACCAAUGGAAAACUAUAAUUUUUGUUUUUCAAAAUGUCUAACUACAAUAAAGAACAUCAAAAUGUA